GUGGGCAUGGGAGAGGGUUUUCAUCAGCUAAUAUAAGCUUGUUCAGCUUAUAUUAUAUAUAUAUAAUAUUAUAUAUAUAUAUANNNNNNNNNNNNNNNNNNNNNNNNNNNNNNNNNNNNNNNNNNNNNNNNNNNNNNNNNNNNNNNNNNNNNNNNNNNNNNNNNNNNNNNNNNNNNNNNNNNNUUCAUACACACAUAUACACACGUAUGUACAGAAAAUAAAUUCUUCACGGAAAAAAAACAAUAAUAAGAACAACAUAACUUAAUUAUAAGAAAACAAAAAACAAAAACAAAACAAAGACAAACAUGUAAAUUAUUGACUUCCCUCCACCUCAGUUUUGGGUUAUGUAAUACAUUUCCCCCCAGUUUUUCUUUAAAACUUUUGUAUGUCGAAGGGUUAUAUUAAGCCUACAGUGAUCUUUGGAUUUUUAAAAUCUACUUCAAUAUAGAUUAUGAAUUUAUUCCAUUCUUUAAUAAACUUUGUUUCUUUCUGGUCUCUAAUUUUUUGUGUUAAUUUUGCCAAUUCUGAAUAUUCAAAUAAUUUACUUUGCCAAUCUCUUACUGUUGGGAUAUUGAUUGAUUUCCAAUUUUGGGCGAUUAAAAUUCUAGCAGCUGUUGUUGCGUACUGGAAUAAGGUCUGGUCCUCUUUCUUAAUUUCAUUGCCAAUCAUUCCCAGAAGAAAAUUUUCAGGUUUUUUAACAAAAGUAUAUUUAAACAUUUUUUUAGUUCAUUAUAAAUGAGCUCCCAGAAGUUCUUGAUUUUUUCACAAGUCCACCACAUGUGGUAAAAACUACCUUCCUUGUUUUUACACCUCCAGCACAUUUUAUCUCCAUUCUUAUAGAUUUUUCCUAAUUUUACAGGGGUGAUGUACCAUCUGUACAUCAUUUUUUCCAUGUUUUCUCUUAAGGCAACACAAGCAGUGAACUUCAUAUCUUUAUUCCAGAGCUUAAUCCAACUAUCGUAUUCCAAAUUAUAUCCCAGAUCUAUCGCCCAUUUCACCAUAACUUCUUUUAUUUCCUCGUCCUUAGUAUCCCAUUCUAACAGUUGAUUAUACAUUUUUGAUAAGAGUUUUGAAUUUCCUUCCAGUAUUUCUAUCUGGAAUCUUGAUUUUUUCCCGUUUAUCCCGAUCUUUUUAUCUUCUGUCCACAGUGCAUUAAUUUGAUGGAAUUGUAACCAACUCGUUAAUUUAUCUCCUAGUUCUUCAUACGUUUUGAUCUGCCAACCUUUUUCUGUUCUCACCAAUAAAUCUUCAUAUGUCCAUCUCUUACCUUCUAUGUUUGUUUUUUUAAUUGUUAAGAUAUCUAUUGGUGAUAACCACCAGGGAGUUUUCCUUUCAAGAAGAUUUUUAUUUCUUUCCCAAACCUCUAGCAGAGGUCCUCUAAUGAUGUGACUGGAGAAUUCUUUAUGUACUUUUGCUUUAUUAUGCCACAAAUAUGCGUGCCAACCGAAUCUGGUGUUAAAGCCUUCUAAAUCUAGUAGGUCAGUGUUUUUUAUUACAAUCCAUUCUUUAAUCCAACAGAGGCAUGAGGCCUCGUAAUACAAUUUCAAAUUCGGUACCGCAAAACCUCCUCUUUCUCUUCUAUCUGUAAGCAAUUUAAAUUUAAUUCUAGGCCUUUUUCCCUGCCAAAUGAAUUUAGAUAAAAUUUUCUGCCAAUCUUUAAAUACUUUGUUUCCUCUUAUCACCGGAAUAUUUUGAAAUAGAAAUAACAACUUUGGAAGUAUAUUCAUCUUAAUUGCGGCCAUUCUUCCUGACCAUGAUAAUUUUAUUCUGUUCCAUAUAUCUAAAUCUUUUUAAUUUCUUUCCAGGUUGUUUCAUAAUUGUCCGUCAUUAAAUUUAUGUUCUUCAUAGUUAGCCAAAUUCCCAGGUAUUUUACUUUUUUUACCGCUUUAAUUCCAAUUUUAGCCUCCAGCUGGUUUUUCAUAACUUCUUCCAUGUUCUUCGUCAUCAUUUUAGUUUUUGAUUUGUUUAACUUAAAACCUGAUAACUUUCCAAAUUCUUCUAACAAUUCUAUUACCUUAUGGACACUUUUUUGUGGAUCUUCUAAUGAUACCAUCAGAUCAUCAGCGUAUGCUUUCAGUUUGUAUUCUUUUUUUCCAAUUUUAAUUCCACGUAUUUCUGGAGUUGUUCUUAUCUUAUUUGCUAUAAUUUCUAGUAUCAUUAUAAAUAAAAGAGGUGAUAGAGGGCACCCCUGUCUCGUACCCUUUGAAAUUUCGAAAUAAUCAGUUAAAUCAUUAUUAAUAAUCAAUUUUGCUUUCUGGCUUGAGUAAAUAGCUUUUAUCCCUUCCAGGAAGGCGCCCUCUAUCCCUACUGUUUCUAGAUAUCUUACAAGGAAUUGCCAAGAUACAUUAUCGAAGGCCUUUUCAGCGUCAAUAAAAAUUAGUGCCGCAGGUAUUUCAUUCUUGGCCUCUAGAUAUUCAAUGAUGUUAAUUUUAUGUCUUAUGUUGUCUUUUAAUUGUCUAUUGGGUAAGAAUCCGACUUGAUCUGUAUGGAUGAGGUUUCUUAAACAUUUCUUAAGACGGUUGGCCAUUACUUCCGCAAAUAAUUUAUAAUCAUUAUUUAAUAAUGAUAUUGGUCUGUAGUUUUUCAUAUCUAAUUUAUCUGUGUCUGGCUUAGAUAUUAAUGUAAUAUAGGCUUCCUUCCAAGAGUCUGGUGUCUUUCCGCCGCUUAAGAUGUUAUUCGCUACUUCGCACAGCACCGGGGCUAAAUAUUCCUCUAGAACUUUGUAGUAUUUAGCUGAAAGGCCAUCAGGCCCUGGAGCCUUUCCUAAUUUCAUUCUUUUUAUCGCAUCCUGGAUUUCUUCAAUUUUUAUAGGAUUAUUUAAUUGUGUUAUUUCUUCUUCUGUUAAUCCUUUUAGUCUAUUUUCUUCUAAAUAUUUCUUUAUUUCUGUGCUGUCUUCUUUUUCUCUUUUGUAUAAUUUUCCAUAAAAUUUGAUGAAAUUUUCCUUUAUUUUCUUAGGUUCUUCCACAAUUUGCUCUUCUGUCCUUAAUUUGUUGAUCAUAUUUUGUUUUUUGUUUUUCAUAAUUGCCACGCUAGUAAUUUUCCGGUUUUAUUUGCUGAUUCAAAGAAUUUUUGCUUCCAUAUCUUGAUUCUCCAUUCUACUUCUUGGCCUACUAAAUUUGAGUAUUGCGUUUGUAAUAUUCUAUAAGUUUGUUUAACCUGCUCCUCAGUUGGGUUUAUUGCUAGUUUUCUUUCGCAAUCUCUUAAUUGAUUGAGUAUUUCUUCUUUUUUUUGCUCUCUUAACUUUUUCCUAUGGCUGUUCUGAUUAAUUAAAAAUCCUCUUAACACUGCCUUACUGGCAUCCCAAACUAUCUCUAUAUUAGUCUCUUUAUUUAAAUUCAUCUCAAAAUAUUCUUUUAAUGUUCUUUUGGCCUUCUCAAUUAUUUCCUCAUUUUCAAAUAGAUAAUCGUUCAUUCUCCAUCUGUAUGUUCCUUGUAAUCUGCUUUUUAUCUCCAACGUUACUGAGCUAUGAUCUGAAAGAGUUCUGGGCUGGAUUUCACAUUUAAGUGCUCUUAAUGUUAAUUCUCUUGAAACCCAUAUUUGAUCCAACCUGGCCCAACUUUGGUGUGGUUCUGACAGGUGUGUAUAUUGUUUCGUUGUUGGAUUUUUAUGUCUCCAGAUGUCUAUCAGAUCUAGAUUUUCCACCAGAUUAUUAAAUGUUCUUGGUAAUUUCCCCUGCUUAAGUUUUCUUCUUUUCACGCUUCUGUCUAAUUCAGGUGUUGGCAUGGCAUUCAAAUCUCCAAGUAAAAUCAUCUAAUGAUCCUCCAAUUCUGUUAACAUUUGUUCCAAUUUUUUAAAGAAUUCAGCUUUAUUCAUAUUUGGUGCAUAGACAUUUAUAACGUUAAUCUUUUCUCCCUGAUGGCUGAUUUGUACUCCUAAGAUCCUUCCUUCAUCGUCCUUACAUAUUAAUAUUGGGUCCCAUUUCUCCUUCACGUAUCUCACAACUCCUCUUUUUGUAUUAAUGUCUGAAUUAACAAACUCUACCCCCAACCUUUUAUUUGCUAGUAUGUUUGUGUUUUUUUGCCACGUGUGUUUCCUGAAAACAGAUCACAUCAAAAUUUUUAUUCUUUAACACCUUUUGAAUUUUGUUCCUUUUAUAUUUUUCGUUCAAACCAUUAACAUUCCAGGACAGAACCUUUAAUGGCAUUAUAUUGUUUGACUUUAAUUUAUAUUCUAGUCUACCUCUUGUCCGUUAACUCUUCUUCUUCCUCCUCCUCUUCUUCUCCACCUACUGCUCCUUCCUCUUCCACUUCCUCUUCUCUCUCUUUUGCUUCUCUGUGUUUUUUACCUUCUUUUCCUUCCUCCUUUCUGUAUAUCUCCCUCCUCCUCCGUACCUUUCUUCCCCUUUUCCAAGCUCCUUCUCAUAUCUUCUCAAAAAAAUUUCUGCUUCUUGUGUAUCUGUCAAUCUGAAUCUUUUAUCUUUAUAAUAGAAGGUAAUUCCUUCGGGGAACUCCCAUCUAUAUUGUAUAUUGUUUCUCUGUAAGACACUUACUAUUUGUCGGUAUCCUUGUCUUUUACGCAAAAGUCUAAUUGGUAUUUCUUUGUAUAGAAUAAUUGUUCUGUUUUCAAUUAUUAAUUUUUUUCAGUAACUUGUUCUUAAUAUCAUAUUUUUCAUCUCAAUUGAGUUGAAAAUCAUCAAACAAUCACCAGGAGAUUUUUUUAGUUUGAGCUGCUGGGGUUUCACCUUUAUUCUAAAUGCGCUUUCUACAGUACAGGCUACUUCUUCCUCUUUUAUUUCCAACCAUUUUGCUAAUUCUCUUAUCAUUUUUUCUUUUAUAUUCUCAUUGAUUUCUUCUUCUACUCCUCUGAAUUUUAAAUUGAGUUGUUUCUUACACAUUUCUGUCAUAGCUAAUCUAUCCUCAAUCUGUUCUUGUGCUUUGUUCAAAUCUCUUAUUUCCUCCUUCAUUUUUUCUGUCUCUCUUUUAUGUUCCUUCAUUUCUUUUUCAAUUUUCUUGUUUGAUUCCUCUAUUACUUUUGAUCUAACUGAUAGGUCUUGUAUUUUAUUAGUGAGUUCUCCCACAGCUCCUUCAAUUUUUUAAUCUAUCUGUUCCUGCACCUCUCCUAAUUUACUUUCCAUAUGCAAUUCACUCUGUUUAAAUUCCUCUUUGAUCUUUAACCACAAUGUGUCUAGGUCUUUAAUUUCCUCCUGUCGUGAGGCCUUUCUGUCUCCAGGAGUCCCUCCUACCUUUUUCCCGUUUUUCCCUGACAUUUUGUGAUUAUUUACACAAUAGUCUGUGUUAAUUUUCUGUCUCUCCCCUGAGGGGCACACAAUCUUUUUUGUUUUGUUUUGUUAUUCUUAUUUUUCUAUGUCUUAACCACUCUCCUUUAAUUUACCUUAUUACACCCAUGUGAUUUUGUUUUUCUUAUUUUAUAUUCUUACAAUUUCUUUUAUAUCACUUUCUAUUGUAUUUCCUUUUUUUCAGACAGAGUAUUACCUUUGAAGUCAAUUAAUUCAACUGUAUCCUAAAAUACAACCAUAAUAUCUCCGAGUACCACCAAUGUCUGCUAGAAAAUAUGUACUAUUAUAAUAUACAGUUACAGAUCCAGUUGGAUAAUAAAAUGUCCAGAAAUCAAAGAAAAUAACUUCACUUAUAAUCCCAGUAUAUCUCGAUGUUGGCAAUCUUAACGUCUUGUUUAUACACCUUAGUACCUUCCUUAGGCUCUUGUUUUUCUUCAAAUGAUUCCCCCCUCCUAGGGUAUUAUUAAUAGUAUAUGACAAUAUAGUUUGUGUUUUCCCAAACCGUCCCUUAAAACCUAAACACCCUCUGAAAGUUUGGUAAAUUUCUCCAAGACUCAAAUAAGUAUUACUUAUAUAUGAAUUAUUCCUGCUAAAGUGGUUUUCUAAAGUCCACGUAGACUCUGAUGGGAGAGCAGUAGUUCUUUCGUCUUCUUUUUUAAAUUAAAUAAUUAAAUAAUUAAUUAAUAUUCAGUUCUGAUUUCUUUUAAUUUCUUUAAUCUUCCACCACUUGCCGGUUUAAUCCAUCACGUGUAAAGGAUAUUCUAUAACUUAGUCCAUGUCCUAAUCCAAGGUCUAGUAAGGCUAAUAAUUCAGGCUUUAAUCCACGAUCUAAAUCAGACCUGUAAACUAAUUAGAUCCCAAUGUCACCAAAUCACUGGUCCGGUCUCUAUCACGAAAUCACUGUUUCAGUCUCUGUCCGUGAAGAAAAGGAGAUCACUGGUCCAAUCUCUAUCACCAAAUCACUGUUUCAGUCUCUAUCACAAAAAAGAAGAAAUCACUGGUCCAGUCUCUGUCACCAAAUCACUGGUCCGAAUUCUGUUCCCAUUUCCUGUUUAUAUUUUCAAGUCCAUAAAAGAUGUAAAUGUCCAAUUCAAAAUGUUGUAAAUAUCCAAUUAUAGUCUACUGGGGUGUAAAACCCCCCUGUUUUUAACACUUAAAGUUAUUUUCCAAAUUUUCCCAGGGUUUAUCGGGUGAUAUUUUCCGCAUUCUAAUUAUUUCUGGUUUUUUUAGCUCCAACGCUUGAAUGUAAAUCUUUCCCAGAGAGAAAAAAAACAACAAAAAGAAAACGGGAAAGAGGGGGUUAACUUAAGUCCAGUUUUUCAGCAGUAAGGAUCGAAAGAGAACCCAAGAUCAUUGCAGUCAAAUAUAACCUUUUUUCUUAGACAGUUCUUAUUUAAAAGAGAGGAGACGUUUCUGCCAAUCUUCCCUUAUUCUUGUCUUUACUGUAACUUUGUUGUUUUUAACGCAGCUUCCAAGCUUUCCCUGUUUUCUUUUAAAUUAAACUUCUACUAGUCGUCUCAAGCUGCUCUUUCAAUCAGCUCUGUGGUUAUUACGUUUCUAAUUAUCUAAUUAGUGAGAGAACAACAAAGUCUCUGGAUAGUCCUUAAUCUGUUGCUUUGUUUUACAAAUUCAAAAGUCUAUUUGCCACGACAAAAGCUGCCGUGGGUACUCACGCAGUCAGGCUAGAGGCUGCUUCCUUCUUUAUCCCUGCGACUUUGUAUCCUGCGCCAUUUUAACUCCUCUACUGGGAUGGAUUCCUUACUUUAAUCCUUCAACAUCCAGCGUUCGCUUAGUGUGUUCUUCGAAUUUUUAAAGUUAAAAUGUUCCACUCACACUAAGGGUCCAUUCUUAAGUUUAUGGAGAUUUGCCGCUUUCUCUAGCGAGAGCCAGAGGCAUCGCAACACAGGGUCGGUACCUUCCUCUUGCACUUGCAAUCCCGUCGUCUUCGAGCUCUUCAAGAAAACCCCCCCGAAAAAACGGCCGGACCGCUUCCGCGCUGCCGGUUAGCCAUCCCUCAAGGGUAUCCCCCUUGAGAUUUUUGGGGGGUGCAGUGCCUUUGCAACUUCCCCAAGCCCCUGUGUUGUUCGGAAAACCCCGACGAGGCUUUCCGCGCUCCCUUUCUGUCUCGCGGCUUCAGGUUACAGACACUUCAGGUUACAGACUCCGCUAACCCAGAAGUAGUACCUCGGGUUAAGAACUUUGCUUCAGGAUGAGAACAGAAAUCGUGCUCCGGUGGCGCGGCAGCAGCAGGAGGCCCCAUUAGCUAAAGUGGUGCUUCAGGUUAAGAACAGUUUCAGGUUAAGAACGGACCUCCGGAAUGAAUUAAGUACUUAACCUGAGGUACCGCUGUACAUUAUUAUUAAUACUAAUACUAUGUUGUUGUUGUUGCCACCCAUUCUGCAUCUGAGAAGUAUGCCCUAGCAAAUCUUACUCCCUUUACAAAUAAAUACAUAAGUAAUACAUAAAUAAAUACAAUAAAUAAGUCUUUAAAUUGCCACAGAUCUCCUCUUUUUUUUAUAUACAACUUAGAUAAAAAGAAGCAACGGCAAACUGCUUAAAAGUAUGGGCAUGGGAGAAGGUUUUCGUCAGCUAAUAUAAGCUUGUUCAGAGGGGCAGAUUGAGACAAAAUACUACACUUUAAUCCUGUGUGGACGUGGUCUAUAAAUGUCUGUAAAUUCUGGAGUGCUUGCAUUGUUACAUCAUAAGCAGCAGGUCAUCCUUAGAUUAGAUGUUUCAGGGGAAUCGGUAGUGAAAGUACAGGUUUGCCACUGAUCAUACAAACAAAUACAAAUGCUGUGGGAUGGGGGGGAUUAAGGGCAAUUGGGGCUAGGGAGGAAUACAGAGGUUUGGGGGCAUGUGAGGAAGGGGGGAGGAUGCGUAGGGGAGGUGGGGAGACAGGGGGCUGUUUGAUUUUGUUGUAAAAUUCCAAAAAUAAAUAACAAAAAGUUGUUUGCAUUGCUAAUUAAAAGUAAAAGUUGUGUUUCUGCUGUCUGGAUGUCAUUUGCUAAAACCAAAUGUGUUUUAAAAAUUGAAUGUAUACAGCAGAAAUACGCACCACUGUGUUCAAUGGUUCUUACUCUCAGCCAUGCACAGAACUGCAGUCAUGUGCCAUAAAUUUAAUCAUGAGAUUUUAUUAGUAAUUUGUUUUAAAUGUCUGUUUUUUUAAGGUGGAGGGAUUUUUUUAAACAAAUGUGUUAGAAAAGCAAGAUAUUUAAAUCCCGGUGGCCUGACUCUGGAUUUCAUUAUGGAGCUGUCAUUGAUGCACUACACAGUUAGGAAUAGCCCUCAAAGGUUGCUGGGAACUGCAAAUGAGGAGGAGAGCACUGUAGAGCUCAGUUGCUCCUUGAGGGCUUCUCAUAGGCAUCUGGUUGGCCACAGUGAGAACAGGAUAUUGGAUAAAAUAAUAAAAUUGCUGUACUUGCAUAAUCAUUACAAGUAACAGUAUUCAGUUUGUCAUAGUAUUAUUUUUUUAGCUCUGGGAGGGUGAAGUACAUCUAUAAAGCCAUUCCAUUUCACAAACAGGUAAAAAAAUACAUACAUCUGGAAGUGCUCUUAUUCUCCAGAAGAAGUGGAGCAGUAGUUUUCUAUGCUAGUGAAACCAGCACACUUCUCCAAACUUUGCUUUGGAGAAGGCCUUCAGGAGUUUCAAAGCGGACAGAGGACAUGCAUUUCAAGACCCGAAUUCUUCUCCAGUUUGAAUUAAAAUCAGAGACAAGUUCCUUCCUCUUGCCCCUUCCAUUCAGUGCAAUGGAGAAACAUUACUUCAUUACUUUGAAUAGGAGCAUAAUUGAGAGGGUGGAGGAACCCAAAACAAAAAAUCUGAAUACAGAAGAGGAAGACCAUUCUUCCUUGGUUAACUGCAUAGGUGGACUUCCCCUCACCAAUUUUGCCCAUGCUGCCUCUGAAUUUGUACUAGGGAAACAUUUUUCUUUUACACUGAAUGGGAGCAGGGUUGAAGGAAGGCUGAGAGGAAAGAAAUCUUGGCAAUUCUUUGAAAGUUUUCCCUCUCCAACUCCUCCUGGAGAUUUUCAGUCCUCCCUUGGAGAAUAUUCAGUGAAAUGACCUUCCUUAUUUUACCACCCACAAAGCAAGUGGAGAAUUUGAGGGAUGGCCAUUUUCACUCUGUUCUAGAUUUUUAAAGACAGUGAGAGCCUCAGUUGGGCUCAGGAGAAAAAAGAAAUAGUUUUCUCAUCCAAGUUCAUCCAAGGUGGGCUUGGGAGAUCUUGCCCAUCUAUGCUCUGUGCAUAGGCAAAAAGUGAAAGUUAUUUUAGACAGUUUGUUCUAGGACCGGAAGACCCCAAACUGAGUUUAUUGGAAUAUCUCUCCAAAUACAAUUGUCUGCCUAUGCUUUAUUUUUAGCAUUGACACAUCUGCCAAUCUCAGUGUACAGAUUUAUAGAAGAGUUACCAAAAAAGCUUAUGUUGUCACUCAGUUAAACAACUUUGCUGUAUCUUGGGUAGGACAUGCAAGGGAAUCAAAAGGUCAUCUCAGACAGGGGCCUUGGCCCACCCAGCUUCUACAGCCUGCAGCACUUCAACCCACCAAGUCAAGGUUGGAGAAUUACUGCUGGACUGCAGCUCACAUUAUCUCCAGCCACCUAGCCAAUGAAAUGGGAUUAUGGGAGUUGUCCCAACUGAGCCCUCAUGGCAAGAAUGGGGAACCUGCAGCCCUUCAGAUAUUCCUGGACUCCAACCCCCAUCUGCCCCAGCCAACCUCAGGGGUGAUGGGCGCAAGAGUCCAACCACCAUUGAGGGUCACCAGUUCCUCAGUGGUUGACUCAGUUUCUUCCACUCUGAUUGGCUUCAUUUAGCACAAAGAGUAACAAGACUUCUCACCCAUCACUCUCAUACAGUGGAGGAGGAAGGGGGGUGCAGGGGUGCAGUUUGCCUCAGGUGUCAUCACUGAGGGGGUGUGUGUGACAAAAUGAGUUUUUAAAAAAUUGUGCUCACGAAACUUUUUAGGAGUGAGGUGGUGGCUUAGGCACCUGCAGGUUCCGCGCUGCCUGAAAUAGCAGCGUGGGACUUGCGUCUGCCUACUGCCUCUCCCUCAGACGCCCUACAGCUGAGGGGGAGGCAGCGAAGGGGCUCCAAGUGUUGGAGAGGCUUGCCCUGCCCACAUGGGUGACUCGACACGCCCCCUAGCUACUCCGCUGCACACAUAUCCACAUGAAGAGGCAAGAAAGAUAAGAAUGGGUUUUUUGUGUGUGACUAAUUUCUAAAUCCUGCUAUUUGCCCAUUGCAAUAAUGUCUUCAAUGUGGAAAUCGUUAUACAAAAUAUGGAUUAAAUAUAAAGGAAUAUUGGAGCCCAAGAUACCCCUGUGCUCGUCACCCACAGAAGCCAUGGCAGUUAAAAAAUAAAUAUGAAAGGGGAAUGGCCAACAUCAGUCUUAGAAGUAGAUAAGGAUAAGCCAACAUUGAAGCAAUAUGCGGAAAUUAAAAACUCGCUAACAGACUGGCUACAAUAUUUCCAGCUACACCAAAGACUAGCUAUAGAUUCAAAACAAGAAAUUGCAAAGGAAACAUCUAGAUUUGAAAGAGAAUCAACACUUAACAGAAAGAAAAUUAUUUCACAAGUGUAUGAUUAUCUUCUGGAAUGGGAAACAAAAGAAGAACAGUCAUGGUUAAAUGGGCACAGGACUUCGGGCAUAAUAUACUUAUGGAACAAUAGGUGAGAUUAUGGACGGCAGACAUUGAAUUCACAGCAUGCUAUAAUCUCAGGGAAUAUACCAUAAAAUGGUAUAUAGAUGGCAUUUUACCCGCAAAAACUUGCUAAAAUGUAUAAAGGAAAAACAUCAACCUGUUGGAGAUGUAAAAAAGAGGAAGGAUCAUACUCUCAUAUGUGGUGGACCUGUGUAGCCAUUGGCAAAUACUGGAAUGAUAUUUAUAAUGAGUUUAAGAAACUAUUUAAAAUUACUUAAAAAAAAAAAAAAACCCAGAGAUUUUCCUACUUUAUAUAUUACCAUCAGAAAUUUAAAAAGAUAUAAGAUCAUUGUUUAUGUAUGGUAUAGCAGCAGCUAGGACCCUUAUAGC
This 11265-nucleotide long non-coding RNA is filed under the name Podarcis lilfordi (Lilford's wall lizard). The record is from RNAcentral. Lineage: Eukaryota; Metazoa; Chordata; Lepidosauria; Squamata; Lacertidae.